This is a long non-coding RNA of Brassica napus (rape), 430 nucleotides long. RefSeq lists it as uncharacterized. NCBI's taxonomy places the organism in Eukaryota, Viridiplantae, Streptophyta, Magnoliopsida, Brassicales, Brassicaceae. The transcript has 3 exons. The record is from RefSeq and is a predicted model, not a curated record.
GGGUGGAACCUUUGCGGAAACUCACAAGAAGGAGCAAAUGUGCUAGCUCAAACACUAUUAUGGCCUGGCGUAUUUGAUUUAACCGAUCAUUCAGGCUAUACAAGAAAUCGGUGCUUGAAGACGUGAUAAGCUCAUGUGUGAGUAAAGGUUAUGUCUUCCAGAUGGAAAUGAUAGUUCGUGCGACCAGAAAAGGAUACCAUAUUGAAGAGGUACCAAUCACAUUUGUGGAUAGAGUCUUUGGAACUUCGAAGCUGGGAGGAUCCGAAAUAGUGGAAUAUCUAAAGACUCGUCUAUCUUCUUCUCACGACUUAAGAGAUGACACCACCCACAGCUCAACAACACAUGAAUCUCUUUUAGUAUUUAUACUCUCCUUAACACUAGAACUCUGAUCAUGUCUUUUAAAAAUUUCUCGUUACCUUUGAAAAUCAAA